GACGAACGCUGGCGGCGUGCUUAACACAUGCAAGUCGAGCGGGAAACUUCGGUUUCCAGCGGCGGACGGGUGAGUAACACGUGGGCAACCUGCCUCACAAUGAGGGAUAGCCUUCCGAAAGGAAGAUUAAUACCUCAUAACACAAGAGAAACGCAUGUUUCUUUUGCCAAAGAAUUUCGUUGUGAGAUGGGCCCGCGGCGCAUUAGCUUGUUGGUGAGGUAACGGCACACCAAGGCUUCGAUGCGUAGCCGACCUGAGAGGGUGAUCGGCCACAUUGGAACUGAGACACGGUCCAGACUCCUACGGGAGGCAGCAGUGGGGAAAUUUGCACAAUGGAGGAAACUCUGAUGCAGCAACGCCGCGUGAGUGAUGAAGGUCUUCGGAUUGUAAAGCUCUGUCUUCUGGGACGAUAAUGACGGUACCAGAGGAGGAAGCCAUGGCUAACUACGUGCCAGCAGCCGCCGUAA
This 467-nucleotide ribosomal RNA is filed under the name uncultured bacterium. Its description in RNAcentral is "partial 16S ribosomal RNA". It matches the Rfam family "Bacterial small subunit ribosomal RNA", at positions 28 to 523 of the family's 1533-position model. The record is from RNAcentral.